RNAcentral lists this long non-coding RNA (6548 nucleotides) under Homo sapiens (human). Its description in RNAcentral is "non-protein coding lnc-DEPDC4-2:7". The record is from RNAcentral. Lineage: Eukaryota; Metazoa; Chordata; Mammalia; Primates; Hominidae.
AAUAGAAAUUUGAUGUCUUCUUUCCAUCCUGGGAAUGGACAUAAUGAUAGUCGGAGGUCUGUGUUUUAUGCCAAUGAAAAGUGGGAAUUUUUAGACCCAACCCCUAAGGACCUAGAGGAGUCCAUAGUACAGGAAGAAAAGAAGGAGCCAACCCCUGAAGGAAACAAAGUUUCACAAAGGCUGAAAAAUUUGCCUCAUACUUCCCUCAAAGCCAAACAGUUGCUUCAAACUUCAUCUACAAAUAGAGGAUUUGUACCUCAAUUGAUGGAAUAUUGGUAAUUCUUCUACUCCAUUUGAAGAUGAAAAAUAAAGGCCAAAAUCAUAGGCCUGGCACAGAAGCUGGAUAAUGAAGACAGCUCCGGAGGAACACAUAGAUACACACACAUAUAGACACACACAUAUAUAAAGUACACAGACAUAUUAUUUUUAAAGUUUAUUUUUUAAAGUUUUAAAGUUUCUAAAAUGAAAGCUGGCCCUGCCUCUCUCCCAGAGUGAGCGGAGACAGCGGUUGCAUGAGCAGCUUUCCUUGUGAGGCCACAGGUCCCUCUGGACACGCUGCUGCCUGACCAUGCCUCCUUUCCCUUUCAGCUUUCUCAUAGACCAAUGGGCUUGGAGCAUUAAGGCCAUACCCCUAUUAUGCAUUCUAGUGCGACCUUGUUUACACCUCCCCUGGCUCAGUCACACAGCUGUGUGGUAGGCUACUAGAAGUGUUUAGUAGUUGUCACUGGGAUCAUGCUGAUGUGGCCCCAUCCCCGCCUCUCCCUGCCCUGUGAUAUCGGAGGAAACCUGACAGAGCAAAUUGGCCAUGGCCAAGAAAAAGGAAAAGAAAGAGUGCCACCAAAAGCAGGGAGCCCUAAGGGAGCAGUUACAGGAGUCUGAGGAUCUGGCCAGCCGCCUUUAGUAUUCCAGGCAGUGUGUGGGAGAGUUGGAGCAGGCUCUCUGCUGUCUCCACACAGCAGAAGAAAGCAGACAGGGUGCAUGACACUGCAUUUCCACCUAGGUGACGGAGCUGGACUCCAUCUCAAAACAAACAAACAAACAACAACAAAAAAAAAAACAAAUGAGACCAUGGGCUUGGAAAUGCCUUGAAAAAAUGUCAAGUGUGAUUCAGAGUGAGGAAGUAUUACUGUGGAAUAGUUACUGUAGCUAUUGUUACCGGUCGGCCAACUGCUCCUCUGCCUGCUAUAUCCUGACUUAACCUUGGUCUGUAUUUGCCGUACAACAAGGAGUUAACCAAAGAGAGAGACGCCCUCAGGCUGGAGUUAUACAAGAACAGUUCAUUCCUUUCUCUACUGCUUCUGGCCAUAACCGAAGCAAUGAGGACCUGAAGCAGGAGAAAUCAGAAUUGGAAGAGAAGCUUCAAGUCCUGGUGACUGAGAAGGCUGGCAUGCAGCUUAUUUUAGAAGAGCCGCAAAAGAAAUUACAAAUGAUGGCACUCCUGCUUCAACAGGCUAGGGGCCCAAAUCUAAACUUCUCACUCUUCACCAUCCAGUUUUCAAGGCACUGUGAAGCCCCUGAUGCGAAACAGCAGUUACCGCAGGCCAUGGAGGAGCGGGCACAGCUGAAAGCACAUCUAGGGCAGGUAAUGGAGUCAGUUAGAUAACUACAAACGGAGAGAGAUACGUAUGCUGAAAAUCUGAAAGGAGGGAGGGCCAUGUGGUGUCAGAGGAAGCAACAGAUGUCGGAGCAGGUGUGCACAUUGAGAGAGGAGAAGGAGGAUAGCAUGAGUUGGGUAUAAGAACAGUAGAUGAGCUUGGCUGAAAGCAGGGCCCUCCAAGGUGGAGCAGCAGCUACAAGCAGAGGCUGACCACCUGCAGAAGGAGCUGGAGAGUCUGGCAGCUCCGAGCCCAGGAGCAAGACACUGAGGGCUUCAGUCACCCGAACCAGGAGUAGGAGGAGAGGCUGCUGGAGCUGGAGCAGGUGGCCGAGCUCUUGCGGGAGCAGGCAGAGUCACGCAGGCAAAUCCUGGAGACCAUGCAGAACAAAUGCACCACCAUCAGCCACGUGCUCACCCAGAACCACAAGCUCAAAGAGCAGCUGUCUCCGCUGCAGAACGGAUUCAUAAAGCUGGUGCCACGGGAGGCAGACACCAAGUUCUGGGGUCUCCAGCUGCAGUGGGUGGCCGCCAAUUGCUUCUCUCUGUCCAGACUAAUGAGAACAUGGAGAUCACCAGUGCACUGCAGUUGGAAUAGCACGUAAAGAGGGAGCUGGGAAAGAAGCUGGGCAAGCUAAAGGACAUGGUAACCCUGCCCCAUCCAAGAAGAGCUGGAAGGCGGGCACCAGCCUCUGGGGAGGGGAGGUGUGAAGCCAGAGGCAGCUCCAGCCUGGGGGACAGGUGACCCCAGCACCCUCCAGGGCAGUCCUGUGACUGUUUCUUGCUUCCCGCCCUCUGACAUUUAGUGGUGGGUUCGUUCUUCCUAGGUCUGGACAUCAUCAUCCCAGCUGGAGUCAUGGAGCCUCCCAAACAUAGGGAAAGAGAUGGUGGUAUAAGAGGUUCCUUAGAGUCAAACUAGAUUCCGGCCUUGGCUCCACUGGUCACCUACUUUUCAUCUCUAAGUCUCGGUUUCUUUAACUUAAAAGGGAAGUUAGCACCUUCCUCUUGGAGGUGCUGAGGAUUAAAUGAGAUAAUACGUGGAAAGCAUUAGGCAUGUAGCACAGUUAGCAGAUGGUGGUUGGCUCCCUCUGCUUUUCCAUCAGUCUGUGGCCUAGUUUAAAUGGUGGGAGGAAGGGUGUGAGAUUUAAGGCUGGUUGUAAGGGAUCAGUCAGUGUAGUUGGAAAAAUUGUAAGAUGAAGUUAUAGGAUAUAGACACAAACCUUCCUGGAAGGCCAGAAAGUCUGCAUAGCUUCAAUAAAGGAUUUGGCUGAAAGCAGCGUAAUCCCCUUUACCUUGAGUUGAUAGCAAUAGAGCAAAUAACAUGGGAACGUGGGGGAGUUUAUUGAAUAGCUUGUUUACUCAUGUGGUCCUAAGACCAACCUUUGAUUAUCCACGGGUGCAUGAUUGCUCUCUACUCGGUGGUCGGCAAAUUUAAUUACCCACAGGUGUGUUGACUCAAAGCCUCUGUCAUUAAAUCUAUGCUGAAUAAAUGCCGUCAGGGCCAGCUAGUCAAGGUGCACAACUCUUUUUGUGCGUGGUGUGGCCCCUUAGCUGCUCUGUCACUGAAUAUUGGUGUCUGAGUAUGUUAUUCAUCUGCCGUGCAACUGGGGUUUGCAGGACAGACCCCUGCAAGUGGUGUCCCGCGUGAGGCACACUGUGAAGGAUCACAACGGACCCCUCGAAAACAAAGGUGAAAAGAACUGCACAGUCAAUAAGUCAGUAAGUCAUUGAUGCCCGCUCGGAAUUUCCAAGUUUGGCGGGGAUUGUUCAGGCUAGGGUUUCAUCAUGGGACAACAGUUAUCAGCUCAACAGGAACAGUAUAUAAAAGUAUUGAAGCAGCUGCUUAAAACUAGUGGAGCCUCAUUUUCACAGGCUCAAUUAAGGGACCUAAUGCAAACUGUUGUCUCACAUAACCCAUAGUUCCCAGAAAAAGGAACGCUAGACGUAGAGCUCUGGGAACAAGUGGGGAGAAAUCUUAAUCAGCAUCAUGUGCAAGGGCAAUGGGUCCCAGUAUCAUCUUUAAUGCUAUGGGCCUUAGUCAGGGCAGCCCUGGCUCCAUUAUACACAGAAGAGCCUAAAAAGGGGAAGGAGGAGGAACCGUCACCUGCUUUACCACCUCCUUUUCCCUCAGCCCCAAUAUCGCCAGGCCAAAAUAACAAAGAGGAAAUGGAGGUUUUGCCUGAGCCCCCUCCUCCAAUAAAUAGGAAAAAAGACAAGAGCUAUGCUACAGCUAUGGGACCCUUUCUUAGGCAAGAGGCAUUAAGUGGGGAGCUCUUAGCCUGCCUGGUAAUACAAGAUUGACAGGGCAAUUGGGUAUAUAAACCCAUUUCUUUUAACAUUUAUAAAAAGUUAAGAAAAAGCAUUAGAGGCUGAAACCGCGUGGCCAAAUGGGUGGUAGGCAGAAGGAAAUACUUGGCAGCAAAGGAAGCUCGCAGACCUGGAGCCAGCAAGUGCUUCCAGGAACUCAGCCUGCACAGAGGCAGCAGUGACAAGGAGCCAGGCGCAGCACACCAGAGCUGGCCUGAUAGGGAGGGGCAGGAGGCGUGCACGAAGGUCCGCCCAGCGGCAGCAGGGUGAGGGAGCAGCACAGACAAAAGGUGGCACAGACAAAAAGCAGCGCCUGAGCAAGCGCAACAUGACCGCCGCCCCGGGACCCGCCGGCUAGACUCUCUGGCUCCGCGGGUGGCCCAUGGCAAAAUUUCAUGUGUUCCUUGUAUACAAGCGACAUCCCAGAUUAUAAUUCUCUGCUAAGAUUUAAGUACAAUUUAAGAAUUUAAAACACCUCUUUCUAAUAAUGGCCACUGUUGCUUUUACACUAUUCCCCUGGCAAAGCAAGACAGAAAAAUUUGCAUUUACAAUACCAGCUAUCAAUAUUGAAAGGUCAGCUUGCCGAUUUCAUUGGAAAGUGCUUCCUCAAGGAAUGCUAAACAGUGCUGCCAUGUGUCAGUAUCAUGUAAAUCAAGCUUUGUUCCCCAGUAGAAAAGAAUUUCCUCAUUGCAAGGUUAUUCAUUUUAUGGAUGAUAUUCUACUAGCAGCCCCAGUGGAGCCAGUGCUUUUAAGUUUAUAUACCUCUGUCAUAAAGAAUGCACAGCUAAGUGGUUUAAUCAUUGCACCUGAAAAAGCACAAAUGUCCUCUCCUUGGAAGUAUCUUGGGUACAUACUUCCUGGUCAGUAAGACCUCAAAAGGUUAAAUUAAAUACUAGCAACUUACACACCUUAAAUGAUUAUCAGAAAUUACUAGGUAAUUUUAACUGGCUUCACCCCACCUUGGGCAUUCCUACUUAUAAGCUGCAAAACCUGUUUUCUAUCUUAAAGGGUAACACAGCCCUGGAUUCUCCGAUGCAAAGCCGGAAUAAGAGCAAUGACCACCAUGCCUGACAGACCUGUUGCUGCGCACACCUGUACUCUCCAAUGAACAAGACUGAAUGCAAAAAAAACAGAAAAUGGGGAGAUUUAGGGGAUCAGUCAGUGUGGUUGGAAAAUUGUAAGAUGAAGUUACAGGAUAUAGACACAAACCUUCUUGGAAGGCCAGAAGGUUUGCAUAGCUUCAGUAAAGGAUUUGGCUGAAAUCCUUUUUACCUCUAAUCCCCUUUACCUUGAGUUGAUAGCAAUAGAGCAAAUAACAUGGGAAUGUGGGGGAGUUUAUCUGAAUAGCUUGUUUACUCAUGUGGUCCUAAGACCAACCUUUGAUUAUCCGCAGGUGCAUGAUUGCUCUCUACCUGGGGGCAGGGGGAGUUAAUUACCCACAGGUGUGUUGACUCAAAGCCUUUGUCAUUAAGUCUGUGCUGAAUAAAUGCCAUGAGGGCCAGCCAGUUAAGGCCUGUGGCCGCCACAACGAGCACCUGGAAGCUAUCAGCCAGCAGAACCAGCAGCCUCAGGCCCAGUUGAGCCUCAUGGCUCUCCCUGGGGAAGGUACCGGAGACUGCUCACAGGAAGAGGAGAGAGCCCCAGGAGGAAACGGGAACUGUUAGCAGCAUAGGAUUGAGGAGCUGAAACAGACUUUUAGAACAGCUGGUCAUUAUGCCAACCAGAGGAGAUGGACAGUGAGGAGGAGGAGGAGGUGCCUCAGCCCAUGCCAAGCAUCCCGGAGGAUCUAGAGAGCCAGAAGGCCAUGGUGGCAUUUUUCAACUCAGCUGUAGCUAGUGCCGAGGAGGAGCAGGCACGGCUAUGUGGGCAGCUGAAGGAGUGCACUGCCAGCGCCUGGCUCAUCUGUUGGCCUCGGCCCAGAAGGAACCUGAGGCAGCAGCCCCAGCCCCAAGAACUGGGGGUGAUCCCAUGUGUGGGGAGACCCACCAGGCCCUGCAGGGGGCCAUGGAGAAGCUGUGGGUGAAGCUGCUGGAGCUGGCGUGGCUUGUGGACGACUGCAACAAGUGGCAUAGCAGAUUCCUGGCAGCUGCCCAGAACCCUGCUGAUGAGCCCACUCCAGGGGCCCCCGCCCCCCAGUAGCUUGGGGCUACUGACAAGCCAGGGUAGUGAGUAGAGUCCUCAGGCACAGUGGGCACGCAGGAGCAGGGGAGGGCUCCCACAGCACCCUGCCUCCCUCUCUCCAAAGAUCUUUGUGAGGUGAGCCUUGCCAGCAGUGGGGAGUCUGCACAAGGAGAGGCGGGGAAGCAUUCUCCCUGUGACAACCCCACUGAGCAGCAGAUCAUGCAACUGCUUCAUGAGAUGCAGAACCUCCAGGAGCACCCAGGCUUGGGCAGCAGCCCUUGCAUUCCUUUUUUGUACCAGACUGAUGAGAACAAUGAGGUGAAGAUCACCAUCAUCUAAAAGCCGGCCACUGUCAGCAAAACCUGGGGAAGUGGGGCUGGAGGCUCUGCCCCUACCAUGUCCCUACCACCCCUUCCCAGUCAACCCUUUACCCUCACAGUAGCAAGCAUAAGACCCCUGUCUAAUGUGGGGAGACAGGUGGAGAUGAGGUGAAGAUCACCAUAAUCUAAAAGGCCACUAAAUAAAA